GUGCUCGCUUCGGCAGCACAUAUACUAAAAUUGGAAGGAUACAGAGAAGAUUAGCAUGGCCCCUGUGCAAGGAUGACAUACAAAUUCGUGAAGCAUGCCAUAUUAAA
Small nuclear RNA from Suncus etruscus (white-toothed pygmy shrew), 107 nucleotides. The record is from RefSeq and is a predicted model, not a curated record. Lineage: Eukaryota; Metazoa; Chordata; Mammalia; Eulipotyphla; Soricidae.